UACGGGGGGGGCAAGCGUUGUUCGGAAUUACUGGGCGUAAAGGGCUCGUAGGUGGCCAACUAAGUCAGACGUGAAAUCCCUCGGCUUAACCGGGGAACUGCGUCUGAUACUGGAUGGCUUGAGUUUGGGAGAGGGACGCGGAAUUCCAGGUGUAGCGGUGAAAUGCGUAGAUAUCUGGAGGAACACCGGUGGCGAAGGCGGCGUCCUGGACCAACACGGACACUGAGGAGCGAAAGCCAGGGGAGCAAACGGG
Molecule: ribosomal RNA, 253 nt
Filed under: uncultured bacterium
Lineage: Bacteria
Description: partial 16S ribosomal RNA
Rfam family: Bacterial small subunit ribosomal RNA
Source: RNAcentral